This is a long non-coding RNA of Perognathus longimembris pacificus (Pacific pocket mouse), 143 nucleotides long. RefSeq lists it as uncharacterized. The transcript is spliced from 3 exons. The record is from RefSeq and is a predicted model, not a curated record. Lineage: Eukaryota; Metazoa; Chordata; Mammalia; Rodentia; Heteromyidae.
UGCUGCUAUGGAGGUAGAUGCCCUUGACCCCAGGUGGCUCUUCUAAGGCUCCUCAGGGCGGUGGGGGAAUCCAGCAGGCACCCCUUUUGGCCAGGUGCCAGGUAGGUCAGACUGGUGACCUCAGCAAGUUCAGAGCCAUCCUC